CAGUCGCCGCGGUAAUACAGAGGAUGCAAGCGUUAUCCGGAAUUAUUGGGCGUAAAGGGUGCGUAGGCGGCUUGACAAGUCUUGUGUGAAAUCUAUGGGCUCAACCCAUAGUCUGCACGGGAAACUGUCGGGCUUGAGAAUGGGAGAGGUGAGUGGAAUUUCCGGUGUAGCGGUGAAAUGCGUAGAUAUCGGAAGGAACACCUGUGGCGAAAGCGGCUCACUGGACCAUUUCUGACGCUGAUGCACGAAAGCUAGGGGAGCAAACAGGAUUAGAUACCCCCGUAGUCCCUGUCUCUUAUAC
RNAcentral lists this ribosomal RNA (301 nucleotides) under uncultured bacterium. RNAcentral describes it as "partial 16S ribosomal RNA". It matches the Rfam family "Bacterial small subunit ribosomal RNA", at positions 509 to 807 of the family's 1533-position model. The record is from RNAcentral.